RNAcentral lists this ribosomal RNA (612 nucleotides) under Triticum aestivum (bread wheat). RNAcentral's name for it is "partial small subunit ribosomal RNA". The record is from RNAcentral. Lineage: Eukaryota; Viridiplantae; Streptophyta; Magnoliopsida; Poales; Poaceae.
AUGGCAAUAUCGAAUACCUCCAUCAUUUUCCCCAUUAUUGUGUUCGUGCUUCUUUCCACAAACAUCCCUACUCAAGCUAGCGACUCUGGUAGUGGAAACUCAAAGGCAACCAACCUCAUGGUGGAAGCAUGCAAGAACGCCUCAAUUAACUCCUACAUCAAGACUGUCCCCGAAGAAUUUUGUUUGUCGACCCUCCAGUCGGACAUUCGGAGCAUCAAGGCUAAGGAUCUCCAUGAUCUAGUGCUCAUUGCCAUGGACAUCACCAAGGGCCGCCUCACUUCUGCUAGUGGCAUGGUCAAGAAAAUGCUGCAAAAUGCCAAGAAGGGUACGGUAAGGAUGCGUGUCCUCCGUUUCUGUGAGGUGGACUAUGAAGAAAUGGCAAGCAUUCUCAACAUAUGUGAUGCCAUGAUCAGGAACUACCAAGGAUACAAGGGAAACAUGCGGUUCCAAGAGCUGGCUAGCUGUGUGAAUGACGCAUAUGACCCUGCCGGCGCAUGCGAAGAAGAGCUUCAAGAUAUGCCAGAGGAGGCGGCGCUGUUCAAGGAAAACACUGAACUGCAAUCGCUAGUAUGGAUGGGCACUAACUUCCUAGUCCCAAUGGUAGUACCAUAA